This 429-nucleotide ribosomal RNA is filed under the name Verrucomicrobiota bacterium. Its description in RNAcentral is "Verrucomicrobia bacterium partial 16S ribosomal RNA". It matches the Rfam family "Bacterial small subunit ribosomal RNA", at positions 355 to 776 of the family's 1533-position model. The record is from RNAcentral. Lineage: Bacteria; Pseudomonadati; Verrucomicrobiota.
UAGGGAAUCUUCGGCAAUAGGGGGAACCCUGACCGAGCAACGCCGCGUGAGUGAAGAAGGUUUUCGGAUCGUAAAGCUCUGUUGUUAAGGAAGAACGAGUGUGAGAAUGGAAAGUUCAUGCUGUGACGGUACUUAACCAGAAAGGGACGGCUAACUACGUGCCAGCAGCCGCGGUAAUACGUAGGUCCCGAGCGUUGUCCGGAUUUAUUGGGCGUAAAGCGAGCGCAGGCGGUUAGAAAAGUCUGAAGUGAAAGGCAGUGGCUCAACCAUUGUAGGCUUUGGAAACUGUUGAACUUGAGUGCAGAAGAGGAGAGUGGAAUUCCAUGUGUAGCGGUGAAAUGCGUAGAUAUAUGGAGGAACACCGGUGGCGAAAGCGGCUCGCUGGUCUGUAACUGACGCUGAGGCUCGAAAGCGUGGGGAGCGAACAGG